UCGAUCUCAAAUCAGGCGGGACUACCCGCCGAACUUAA
Molecule: ribosomal RNA, 38 nt
Filed under: Albatrellus citrinus
Lineage: Eukaryota; Fungi; Basidiomycota; Agaricomycetes; Russulales; Albatrellaceae
Description: partial 28S ribosomal RNA
Source: RNAcentral